Molecule: ribosomal RNA, 468 nt
Filed under: uncultured bacterium
Lineage: Bacteria
Description: partial 16S ribosomal RNA
Rfam family: Bacterial small subunit ribosomal RNA
Source: RNAcentral
GACGAACGCUGGCGGCGUGCUUAACACAUGCAAGUCGAACGGAAAGGCCCUGCUUUUGUGGGGUGCUCGAGUGGCGAACGGGUGAGUAACACGUGAGUAACCUUCCCUUGACUUUGGGAUAACUUCAGGAAACUGGGGCUAAUACCGGAUAGGAGCUCCUGCUGCAUGGUGGGGGUUGGAAAGUUUCGGCGGUUGGGGAUGGACUCGCGGCUUAUCAGCUUGUUGGUGGGGUAGUGGCUUACCAAGGCUUUGACGGGUAGCCGGCCUGAGAGGGUGACCGGCCACAUUGGGACUGAGAUACGGCCCAGACUCCUACGGGAGGCAGCAGUGGGGAAUAUUGCACAAUGGGCGGAAGCAUGAUGCAGCAACGCCGCGUGCGGGAUGACGGCCUUCGGGUUGUAAACCGCUUUCGCCUGUGACGAAGCGUGAGUGACGGUAAUGGGUAAAGAAGCACCGGCUAACUACGUG